AUGAUUGACCUAAAUGAGGAACCAGCUGAAAAUAAUGAUGAUCCUUUGUACUGUACACAACAUGCUACUGGAAAUGCAGAAUUUGUGGCGGAAUCACCUAAUCCCCCUAUCAUCCAAAGAGUCGAUGGUGCUGCUACAGAAGCAAUGGAGACAGAUGGGCAGUCAAGUCAUGGGGGGCGUGCUCCGGGCAGUACACAAGUACCUACAGUUGUAGCAGCUGGGAGUGAUGCUCAUACCCUUGAUGGCACAGGUGCUGCAGGUGAUACCGGUGGCACAGUUGGUAAUGGUUUGGGUGCUGAAAAUGAUGAUGAAGCUUGGUCACAGCCCAAGGAGCCUUACGUGGGCAUGAGGUUCGACACUUUGGAAGAUGCCAAGGUGCAUUACAAUGCAUAUUCCUUGUAG
RNAcentral lists this ribosomal RNA (402 nucleotides) under Triticum aestivum (bread wheat). RNAcentral describes it as "partial small subunit ribosomal RNA". The record is from RNAcentral. Lineage: Eukaryota; Viridiplantae; Streptophyta; Magnoliopsida; Poales; Poaceae.